UUCGGCUUAGAGUUUGAUCCUGGCUCAGAUUGAACGCUGGCGGCAUGCCUUACACAUGCAAGUCGAACGUGAAAGUAGGGGCAACCCUGCGAGUAGAGUGGCGAACGGGUGAGUAACACAUCGGAACGUACCCAGGAGUGGGGGACAACCUCGAGAAAUCGAGGCUAAUACCGCAUACGUCCUGAGGGAGAAAGCGGGGGAUCUGAAAGGACCUCGCGCUCAUGGAGCGGCCGAUGUCGGAUUAGCUAGUUGGCGGGGUAAGAGCCCACCAAGGCUACGAUCCGUAGCUGGUUUGAGAGAACGACCAGCCACACUGGGACUGAGACACGGCCCAGACUCCUACGGGAGGCAGCAGUGGGGAAUUUUGGACAAUGGGCGCAAGCCUGAUCCAGCCAUGCCGCGUGAGUGAAGAAGGCCUUCGGGUUGUAAAGCUCUUUCGGCCGGAACGAAAUCGGCGGCGUGAAUAGNGCUGCUGGAUGAAAGGUACUGGAAGA
This 494-nucleotide ribosomal RNA is filed under the name uncultured bacterium. Its description in RNAcentral is "SSU rRNA". It matches the Rfam family "Bacterial small subunit ribosomal RNA", at positions 1 to 485 of the family's 1533-position model. The record is from RNAcentral.